GUCGUCGACGACGAAGAUCUCAUCUCCUACAUCAUUGCUGGCCUCGAAGAUACAUAUGAGCCGAUGAUCUCUUCCAUCGUUGGCAAGUCUGAGCCAAUGUCUUUUGGGGAGGCUUUCUCUCAACUGCUCAGUUUUGAGC
This is a non-coding RNA of Oryza brachyantha (malo sina), 139 nucleotides long. NCBI's taxonomy places the organism in Eukaryota, Viridiplantae, Streptophyta, Magnoliopsida, Poales, Poaceae. The record is from Rfam.